AGUGAACGCUGGCGGUAGGCCUAACACUUGCAAGUCGAACGGCAGCACAGUAAGAGCUUGCUCUUACGGGUGGCGAGUGGCGGACGGGUGAGGAAUACAUCGGAAUCUACUUUUUCGUGGGGGAUAACGUAGGGAAACUUACGCUAAUACCGCAUACGACCUACGGGUGAAAGCAGGGGAUCUUCGGACCUUGCGCGAUUGAAUGAGCCGAUGUCGGAUUAGCUAGUUGGCGGGGUAAAGGCCCACCAAGGCGACGAUCCGUAGCUGGUCUGAGAGGAUGAUCAGCCACACUGGAACUGAGACACGGUCCAGACUCCUACGGGAGGCAGCAGUGGGGAAUAUUGGACAAUGGGCGCAAGCCUGAUCCAGCCAUACCGCGUGGGUGAAGAAGGCCUUCGGGUUGUAAAGCCCUUUUGUUGGGAAAGAAAAGCAGCAGGUUAAUACCCCGCUGUUCUGACGGUACUCAAAGAAUAAGCACCGGCUAACUUCGUG
This 492-nucleotide ribosomal RNA is filed under the name uncultured bacterium. RNAcentral's name for it is "partial 16S ribosomal RNA". It matches the Rfam family "Bacterial small subunit ribosomal RNA", at positions 29 to 507 of the family's 1533-position model. The record is from RNAcentral.